Molecule: ribosomal RNA, 399 nt
Filed under: Anisus leucostoma
Lineage: Eukaryota; Metazoa; Mollusca; Gastropoda; Planorbidae
Description: partial 16S ribosomal RNA
Rfam family: Bacterial large subunit ribosomal RNA
Source: RNAcentral
AACAUAUAUAAAAUAUUUUCUGCCCAAUGUAUUUUUAUAAAUGGCCGCAGUACCUUGACUGUGCUAAGGUAGCGUAAUCAAUUGGCUUUUAAUUGAAGUCUAGUAUGAAAGGGAUAAUGGAAUUUAGCUGUCUAAAAGAUUUUUAUUAAAAUUUAUUUAUAAGGUGAAAAUACCUUUAAUCAAAAUAAAGACGAGAAGACCCUAUGAAUUUUUAACAUUUUUUUGUUGGGGCGACAGUUUAAAAAUAGAUCUUAAUUUUAUCAAAUAUAUAACGAAUAUAUUAAUAUAAAUAAAAUUACCUUAGGGAUAACAGCAUUAUUAUUAAAAUAGUUUGUGACCUCGAUGUUGGACUAGGAACUAUACGGCUAGCCGUCUUAAGAUAUUUGUUCUGUUCGAACA